This 541-nucleotide long non-coding RNA is filed under the name Solanum tuberosum (potato). RNAcentral describes it as "long non-coding RNA (STUB_LNC008483)". Lineage: Eukaryota; Viridiplantae; Streptophyta; Magnoliopsida; Solanales; Solanaceae. The record is from RNAcentral.
GUGCCACUCAUCUUCUCCCUCACUAAAAAACUAAUCUUUCCAAAUUUUACCCACCCCCCACACUUUCCCCUUUUUCACUUCACUCAAAAAGCUGCACCUAGAAAUCAACACAACAUCAGUUAAUAUACAAACAUAUACACAGAGAGAGAGAGAAAUGUGUUUUUGUGUGUUGUGUGUGAGUUAUAGAGAGCAAAGUUCGUUGAGGUUACCUAAGAGGGGGACAGAUCUAGGGUUUGGACAAGCAUGGAAGAAAGAGCAGAGAGAUAAAAGCUGAAGAAACAAAGAAAGAAAAUAUAUAAAGUGAAGUGAGAUUUAAUUAGAGUGAAAUCAAGAAAAUAAAUAACACUAGUACUUAUGUACAAGACAAAAUUAAUGAACUAGUAUACUUACAUUGAACUUUAUGAUGAGCAAGAAUAAAUGACAAUAACAAUGUGAAUGAUGACAUUAUAGUAGAAGUUUUAUGAAAGAUAAUGAAGGGUUUAAGGUUUAAAGAAGGGAGUGUUGAUGUUUAAGGAAGCAUUGGGGCAUGGGGAGAAAAGAG